This 72-nucleotide transfer RNA is filed under the name Paroedura masobe. Its description in RNAcentral is "tRNA-Leu". Lineage: Eukaryota; Metazoa; Chordata; Lepidosauria; Squamata; Gekkonidae. The record is from RNAcentral.
ACUUUCAAUGGAUAAUAGCUGUCCACUAAUCUUAGGAGUUAGCCCCCCUUGGUGCAACUCCAAGUGAAAGCA